Molecule: long non-coding RNA, 1296 nt
Filed under: Citrus x clementina
Lineage: Eukaryota; Viridiplantae; Streptophyta; Magnoliopsida; Sapindales; Rutaceae
Description: Citrus clementina (C. clementina) long non-coding RNA (CCLE_LNC006042)
Source: RNAcentral
AAGCGUGCCAGGAUCUGUUCGACCCGCGAAGGAGAGCAGAAUCCCAAGCAUUGAAGAAUUUUCUAAGGCAUACAAAGGCUCAUCAAGUCUCAAAGCUGUUUAUGGCGAGACCAGAUGCCAAGCGUGCCAGGAACUGCUCGACCGCGCGAAGGCGAGCAGAAUCCCAAGCAUUGAAGAAUUUUCUAAGGCAUGCAAAGGCUCACCAAGUUUCAAAGCCUGUUUAUGGCGAGACCAGAAGCCAAGCGUGCCAGGACCUGCUCGACCGCGCGAAGGCGAGCAGAAUCCCAAGCAUUGAAGAAUUUUCUAAGGCAUGCAAAGGCUCACCAAGUUUCAAAGCCUGUUUAUGGCGAGACAAUAAGCCAAGCGUGCCAGGAUCUGCUCGACCGCGCGAAGGCGAGCAGAAUCCCAAGCAUUGAAGAAUUUUCUAAGGCAUGCAAAGGCUCACCAUGUUUCAAAGCCUGUUUAUGGCGAGACCAGAAGCCAAGCGUGCCAGGAUCUGCUCGACCGCGCGAAUGCGAGCAGAAUCCCAAUUAUUGAAGAAUUUUCUAAGGCAUACAAAGGCUCAUCAAGUCUCAAAGCCUGUUUAUGGCGAGACCAGAUGCCAAGCGUGCCAGGACCUGCUCGACCGCGUGAAGGCGAGCAGAAUCCCAAGCAUUGAACAAUUUUCUAAGGCAUGCAAAGGCUCACCAAGUUUCAAAGCCUGUUUAUGGCGAGACCAGAUGCCAAGCGUGCCAGAAUCUGCUCGACCGCGCGAAGGCGAGCAGAAUCCCAAGCAUUGAAGAAUUUUCUAAGGCAUGCAACGGCUCACUAAAUCUCAAAGCCUGUUUAUGGCGAGACCAGAAGCCAAGCGUGCCAGGAUCUGCUCGACCGCGCGAAGGCGAGCAGAAUCCCAAGCAUUGAAGAAUUUUCUAAGGGAAGCGAAGGCUCAUCAAGUCUCAAAGCCUGUUUAUGGCGAGACCAGAUGCCAAGCGUGCCAAAAUCUGCUCGACCGCGCGAAGGCGAGCAGAAUCCCAAGCAUUGAAGAAUUUUCUAAGGCAUGCAAAGGCUCACUAAGUCUCAACGCCUGUUUAUGGCGAGACCAGAAGCCAAGCGUGCCAUGAUCUGCUCGACCGUGCGAAGGCGAGCAUAAUCCCAAGCAUUGAAGAAUUUUCUAAGGCAUGUAAAUGCUCCCCAAGUCUCAAAGCCUGUUUAUGGGGAGAGCAGAAGCCAAGCGUGCUAGGAUCUGCUCGACCGCUCGAAGGCGAGCAGAAUCCCAAGCAUUGAAGAAUUUUCUAAGGCAUGCAAAAGCUCAUCAAN